GUGAACGCUGGCGGCAGGCCUAACACAUGCAAGCCGAGCGGUAGAGAUUCUUCGGGAUCUUGAGAGCGGCGUACGGGUGCGGAACACGUGUGCAACCUGCCUUUAUCUGGGGGAUAGCCUUUCGAAAGGAAGAUUAAUACCCCAUAAUAUAAGAGACGGCAUCGUUUUUUAUUGAAAACUCCGGUGGAUAGAGAUGGGCACGCGCAAGAUUAGAUAGUUGGUGAGGUAACGGCUCACCAAGUCUACGAUCUUUAGGGGGCCUGAGAGGGUGAUCCCCCACACUGGUACUGAGACACGGACCAGACUCCUACGGGAGGCAGCAGUGAGGAAUAUUGGACAAUGGGUGAGAGCCUGAUCCAGCCAUCCCGCGUGAAGGACGACGGCCCUAUGGGUUGUAAACUUCUUUUGUAUAGGGAUAAACCUACCCUCGUGAGGGUAGCUGAAGGUACUAUACGAAUAAGCACCGGCUAACUCCGUGCCAGCCGCCGCCGUAA
Molecule: ribosomal RNA, 494 nt
Filed under: uncultured bacterium
Lineage: Bacteria
Description: partial 16S ribosomal RNA
Rfam family: Bacterial small subunit ribosomal RNA
Source: RNAcentral